Molecule: long non-coding RNA, 1653 nt
Organism: Nilaparvata lugens (brown planthopper)
Lineage: Eukaryota; Metazoa; Arthropoda; Insecta; Hemiptera; Delphacidae
Exons: 2
Source: RefSeq, a predicted model, not a curated record
GACAUGUUCAGAAGCCUCAGAGAGGCUCACACCGCGGCAUACAUCGGCAAAGCCAUCAACUUCGGUUAAUCAGCAUUUCGACGACAAUCGUUUAGAAGUCACUAAGAUCUGUCACUAAACACAGCAGCCAAUCACAUUAGCUCAUGCUAAGGCUGCUCUCAUUUAUUGUUGUAGUGCUCUAGAAUGUUCCAAAAUAUUCUAGAAACACCCCGGAAGUUAGCAAUGCUUUUAUUUUCAUUUAUUUCUAUAACUAUCGUGGAGAUUCGUGAAUUAAUUUGAAAAACAAUCGCGAGUUAUCAGUGAAAUUCGUGGAUGUUGUUAAAUUUAUCCCUAUAAGAAUUGCGAGUAACUAGUGAAAUGCCUACAAAGUUGGCAAAGAGAAAACGAAAUAUUUAUUGAUAUAACAAUCGUGAAUUACUAGUGAAAAGUCAACAAAACCUGCGAAGAGAACCGACAGUUUGUUGUAACUACGACACAUUAUGAUUGCGAACUCGAGUUAGUGUUAAACGAGGCUUAAACGAAGUUUUACUGAGGUUAAACGUGGUUUUACUGAAGUUAAACGAGGUUUUAGUAAAGUUAAACGAGGUUCGAACGAGAUUGAAUGAGGUUUGGUUACUGCAAUAAAAUAUUUGAACGUUUAAUGUAAAGUUUGGAGAGGACCGUUAGUUCUAAUUUCGCCUUAAAACGUGAAUCGUGGACUUGAAAGUGAAGUGUGUGAAAAAAUGAUAAUCUGUGAGGAAGAGGAGUGCUACAAGGUAAUAUUAUAUUGUUUGUUCAGUUUUGACAAUAUAUGGGGUUGUAGAAUCUUGUAGCUAAGUUGAUUACUAACUUUAUCUUGAACUCAUUUCAUAAUUCACUAUUUAUGUUUCAAUUGUCUCUGUAGUUGAUUAAGUCUAUUUGACUGGAGGACGACUUAAAAAGAUCUAUAUUUUUAGUCAUCUCAAGUCAAGUAAGGCUUGAGAAGUAUUGAAAUUUAAAAUUUAUAUAACUAUACGCCGGUUGCACAAAAGCUGGUUAAAUUUCAAUGAUGUUUAACUUGACAAGAACCAAUCAGAGAGAAAACCUUCUAUGAUUGUUUCUCGUCAAAUUAAUCACGAUUAAAAUUUAACCGGCUUUUGUGCAACCGGGUCUGAAUGUUUUGGGAAAGUUGAAGUAGCUUUGAAAAUUAUUUAUUUAUUCAAUGCCUUAAUCUUAAGCUUACUUGGUUUAAGUGGAACUUUAAAAUGAGUGUUAUUUCAAGUCGUAAUUAAAUUAAGUAAACCUUGAUUACCUCAAGAUUUACUAUUAAGUAAACCUUGAUUAAAACCUUAAUUAAGUAACCUUGAUUAAUUAAGUAAACCUUGAAACUGUCUCAGUUUGAAACAGUAAUAUUGAUAUGUGAAUUGAAACAUUAUUUUAAUUUGAUUGAAACAUUCAACAUAUUAAAACAUUAUUACAAUGUUUUUUGAAGUGAAUUUGUAAACAUGUUCUAAACAUUUAUAUUAUUACCAUCGAAGCUUUAUUCGAAAUAAAAUGGAAUAAUUGUAUUGCUUUAAUUUAUCGAACAAGAACUUAUUUAUGUAAUUAAUAUUAUUGUAAUAUACUACGAUUAAUUGUAUAAAUUUAUUAGAUCGUUAUUGUUAAUUGAGAAUAAAAUGGUGAAUAAUUGUUGUA